AGUUGAGCUUCGGGCUGCGGUGGUGGGGCGAGCUGCCCGCGCUCCCGGGACCGAGGCGGGCCUGCAGACCGCCCGCCGCCCCCCCAGGACCUGGCUGGUCGCCCCCUAAGACCGCCCGCCACCCCCAGGUCCAUCCGCCGGAGCAGGCGUCAUGGUCACGCCUCUUUCUCCCCAAGUGAUAAAGCUCAUCUAUUAAAGGAAGCUUUAGGAAUGCGAAUUUCAGGAUUGUUUGACAAGCUACUUCACUGCCUGGUGUAGUUCUUUGGGCAUCAUGAGGCAAACAGCCGGGCUGUGAACAGCCUCCAGGGACCGGGGGCAGCCUCUAGAUCCCAGGGCAGCCAACAGCCAGCAAGAAGCCAGGACCCUCAGUCAUCAGCAGCGAGGAAAUGAAUCCCGUAAACACCUUGCAUGGACCUGGCAGCGGAUUCUCCUCACUGAGACCUCCAGUUGAGGAAACUGAGUCACGAGUGGGCUCCUCCUUAGCAGGCUAAGGAGACAGAGGAGUGGACCCCAGACUGCCUGACCUCCUGGCGCCUGCAUCGUGGAGGCUCUUAGGCAUGGUGUGAGGGGCGCCUGGAGAGAUGGGAGGCCUGCAGGUGACAGAGGCCAGGACCCGCAGCCCCGAGAUGGAAAAGCAGGCUGUGUCGCCUUUAAAAGAAAGACCACACGAUUACACCUCCAACAGGCUACAGAGGCCCGGCCCUGCCCAGCUCCUCCCGGCCUUCCUGUCUCGUGAUGGCCCCGCCCCUGUGGCCUUCUCCAUCACUCAUUCAUGUCGGCCCCUGCCCAUCUUCUGCUGGAGCGUAAGGGGACUCUUCCUGGCCCCCGUCCUCAGGCUCCCGCCCACCGCCCAGGGGCAUCUCACUGAAGCCAGCCAUGUCCACCGUGCAGGCAGCAGGUAGGAGCCACCGAACAGGGCUGGAGAGGGGGGCCAGGGUGGGCCUGGCCGGAGGAGGGUAUGGAGCAGGUGGGGUGGGGGAGAGGGGCCCUCACGGC
This is a long non-coding RNA of Eubalaena glacialis (North Atlantic right whale), 996 nucleotides long. RefSeq lists it as uncharacterized. NCBI's taxonomy places the organism in Eukaryota, Metazoa, Chordata, Mammalia, Artiodactyla, Balaenidae. The record is from RefSeq and is a predicted model, not a curated record. The transcript has 5 exons.